AUGCACUGACUUAGUUUCCUGCCACCAGCGACCUGUUCACCUGACUGCCACGUACCACCUGUGGAUAUUUGUUCAGCCUGUGACCCACUAUGAUUGUGCUUACAAGUGGAAUGCAACAAGUGUGUGUUUCAUACCACUGGUACCUUGUUAGGUGGUGAUGAUCGUGCUCUUACUGGUCGCAGUUAUGGAGGGAGUGGUCCUAUUGGUUGGCUCCCACAUUAGGAAGGCGGGGUUGGGGCCUUCCUAUUAUCAUUAUGCCAACAUUAUUAAUAUGGUAUAGUCUUCCUCCCCUUUUUCCUUCCUGCUGUCACCAAAUGCUUGCUCAUCGGGGCUCAAACUCAUCAGCAACCAGCUGCAGAGGAGCUUGCAUCCACUAAAAGCAGCAGGAACAAAGUCAGGAAACAAAUGCUCCGAAGGAAAAAGUGAAAAACCUCAAAGCAAACAGACACUCAAAGAAAGGAAGACGAAGAAGAGAAAGGAAAGGAGGAAAAACAAAAGACGAGAGAAGAAAUUCACUGAAACAUCACUUGAUGAUUGCACAAAAACUCAGAUCUGACAAACCGUACACCUUGCACAAAGCUUUGGACCUCAUUACAGCACCAGUUGAAGAUGGAGGUUUGGUCCACUCAUCUGGUCUGGGUUCUGCCAACUUCAUUGAAGGGAUAGAUCUUUGCCAUGAAAUGGGUAGCAGUCGAUGAACCGGUUUUUGAACUGCUGCAGUAUCCAGAUUUUGAAGCAAUUCACCCGAUGGUCCACUGGCUUGAGAUCGGUGUGUUGCGUGGCCUCUUAACUUAAGAAAACCUCCGUAUUAUGGGUCAAGUUAUUAAUCAACUGCAACAAGAUGAUGAUGAGGAGGACAAUUUUCAGAAGGAUGAGGCUGAUGAGAAAGAGGCUGAUGUUCCAGCAGCAGGCAUAGAAAUAAAUCCACCUCAAGUUGAAGAACCCUGGCUCAAUAACAGAGCAGAGAUCCCAGCAGGAGAAAUGGAAAUAAACCCAGCCCAACAAGCUGAAGAUCCCAUAGCUGAAGAAAUGAGGUCAUUCUGGGAUAACGAGGAGGCUGAGUGACAGCGACAGUGUCCCUGAGAGUGGUCCUGACAGUGACACCGAUCACAGUGACACUGACGACAGCGACAGUGAUGAUGAUGGAGCCAAGGGUGGAGGAGAAUGAUGAAGAGGAAGAUGGGAGACCCAGAAAACAAUCCAAACACUGAAUUUUGCUCCUGGACACUCAGUGUUGCACCCAUCCUCCAAACCCACAGUCCCCCGUCCUAACAAACUGUAUCUCGGCUUUCCCCUCUGAUGCACUGACUUAGUUUCCUGCCACCAGCGACCUGUUCACCUGACUGCCACGUACCACCUGUGGAUAUUUGUUCAGCCUGUGACCCACUAUGAUUGUGCUUACAAGUGGAAUGGUCAAAGGAGUUUGCAAAGAAAAGCGUCUGGACUUCUUUAAGUUGCUUGAAGACGUUUCACCUCUCAUCCGAGAAGCUUCUUCAGUUCUAAG
This is a long non-coding RNA of Oreochromis niloticus (Nile tilapia), 1504 nucleotides long. RefSeq lists it as uncharacterized. NCBI's taxonomy places the organism in Eukaryota, Metazoa, Chordata, Actinopteri, Cichliformes, Cichlidae. The transcript is spliced from 3 exons. The record is from RefSeq and is a predicted model, not a curated record.